Molecule: ribosomal RNA, 301 nt
Filed under: uncultured bacterium
Lineage: Bacteria
Description: partial 16S ribosomal RNA
Rfam family: Bacterial small subunit ribosomal RNA
Source: RNAcentral
CAGUCGCCACGGUAAUACGGAGGGAGCUAGCGUUGUUCGGAAUUACUGGGCGUAAAGCGCACGUAGGCGGCUUUGUAAGUCAGAGGUGAAAGCCUGGAGCUCAACUCCAGAACUGCCUUUGAGACUGCAUCGCUCGAAUCCGGGAGAGGUGAGUGGAAUUCCGAGUGUAGAGGUGAAAUUCGUAGAUAUUCGGAAGAACACCAGUGGCGAAGGCGGCUCACUGGACCGGUAUUGACGCUGAGGUGCGAAAGCGUGGGGAGCAAACAGGAUUAGAUACCCCUGUAGUCCCUGUCUCUUAUAC